GGAGAGGUGGCCGAGUGGUCGAAGGCGCUCCCCUGCUAAGGGAGUAUGCGGGCAACCGUAUCGAGGGUUCGAAUCCCUCUCUCUCCGCCA
Molecule: transfer RNA, 90 nt
Filed under: Hyphomicrobiales bacterium
Lineage: Bacteria; Pseudomonadati; Pseudomonadota; Alphaproteobacteria; Hyphomicrobiales
Also listed under: 3 other names
Description: tRNA-Ser
Rfam family: tRNA
About the family: Transfer RNA (tRNA) molecules are approximately 80 nucleotides in length. Their secondary structure includes four short double-helical elements and three loops (D, anti-codon, and T loops).
Source: RNAcentral